This 23-nucleotide small nuclear RNA is filed under the name Phaeodactylum tricornutum CCAP 1055/1. RNAcentral's name for it is "snRNA PTsRNA00012a". Lineage: Eukaryota; Bacillariophyta; Bacillariophyceae; Surirellales; Neidiaceae. The record is from RNAcentral.
CAAUGAGAUUUCUGUCUGACAAA